This 45-nucleotide non-coding RNA is filed under the name Echinostoma caproni. The record is from RNAcentral. Lineage: Eukaryota; Metazoa; Platyhelminthes; Trematoda; Plagiorchiida; Echinostomatidae.
GCACUGCUGACGAGUCCCAAACAGGAGAAAACAACGGUCCAGUGC